UUAAAAAAAAAAAAAGAAAGAAAGAAAAGGGAGAAAGAAAGUGAGAAUGCAGUCUUCUGUAAACUUUAUAAUUUGGGGCUGCAAGUUUAGUCUCGAGCACCACAGUUGAGCAUUAGAAAGAGCCUGGGCAACCCUCUCAUCCAACCACUUCCUGUUAUAGCAGUUCAUUGUCCUAAACUUCAAUCCAUCCAAAAAUCCUAAUUUCAUGACCACUACUGUCUUAAUCUGUUCAGGGCAACAUAACAAAAUACCAUAGACUGGGUGGUUAACUCACAGAAAUUCCUUUCUCAUAGUUCUAGAGGCUGGAAGUCUAAGACCAGGGUGCCAGUGUGGUCGGGUUCUGGUGAGGACCCUCUUCCUGUCUUGCAGAUGGCCCAGAUGACCGCCUUCCCUCUGUGUGCUGACAGACCCUUCCCUAGGAGUGAGUGAGCAGAAGGAGACAGAGCAAGCUCUCUGGUAAGAAAAUUGAAGUACAAGAAGAAGGUCCCAGCCUGGAUUCAAGCCCAGACUCCAGAGCCUCUGUGGUUUCUUGUUUUAUUAACGUUUAUCCACCUGGUCUUUUAUGGCACUUCGUUCAUUAGUGAUUACACUAAAGAAGUUGUCUAACCUGUGCUGCUGCUCCCAGUGUGGCCCCAAGACUGUGCCUUUGGGGAACUGUUUGUCACCAGUCCUCGACAAGAUUUGAAUUAAAACCCAAGACUUUUGAGAAGAGUCAGCUCUUGAAGAUGACUUAUGCCAAUGCUAAACUUCACAGACUCUCAAGCACAUAGCAUCUUGCACAUUGUAGAUGCUUCCUAAAUGUUUGCAGAAAAAAAAGGAAGUCAGGAAGGACAGAGAGAGCAUGGGACCUCUUCUGGUUCAAAAAAACAACUGUAAUCUGGAGCUACUGAUAUUUGGGAUCAUACAUAUCUUAAUCUAUUCCAUGUAAAUAAAAUGAAACCAUACUUAGCCAAA
Non-coding RNA from Microcebus murinus (gray mouse lemur), 954 nucleotides. The record is from RefSeq and is a predicted model, not a curated record. NCBI's taxonomy places the organism in Eukaryota, Metazoa, Chordata, Mammalia, Primates, Cheirogaleidae.